This 702-nucleotide non-coding RNA is filed under the name Pan troglodytes (chimpanzee). The record is from RNAcentral. Lineage: Eukaryota; Metazoa; Chordata; Mammalia; Primates; Hominidae.
CGCGGGCCGCCGGGCCGGGGUCGCCGCCCGGGCUCGGUCAGUCGGUACCUUCAUGAAGGUCUCUACCGCGCCUUUGGCCGUGUCCAGCCUCGUCCCAAAUGCCGUGGGAGGGAAGGCACUCUCUGUCAAGCUGCUGUCACCUUACCUGAAGUAAGGAGUCCACGCCUGCAUGUCCGAGGAAAACAGUUUUCUCAAACACAUUAGUUGAAAAACUGAAGACGCUGCCUAAAAUACAAGCUGAGUUAGAGACAGCCCUUGUAAGACUAGAAAAAGAAAUGGAAACUAAGUAACAUGAAUUAACAUAGUCCAGGGUCACAAAGCAAAAUGGAACAAGAACCUGGAUCUGAAUUCAGAGGCAGAAUGCUGGAAUCUAAGCCAGAAUGAGGUUACUGCCUAUGCAAAGAAGAAGACAGCUCAUCACAGGCCUGAGAAUCAGGAGAGUCAAUGGUAUUAGUGCUUGUCCGGAAGCCAUCAUGCUUCAAAACCAAGAAGAGCUGAUUUUCCAGUUGGAGUCUAAAGGAAAGGCCUUGUGAGGACAUAACCAGGAAGAGAGUCCUCACCAGAACCUGACCAUAACUGCACCCUGAUCUCAAGCUUCCAGCUUCCAGAACCAUGAGAAAUCAAUGUUUGUUGUUUUAGCCACCCAGUCUACAGAAAUUUGUUAUAGCCACCCUAGCUGACUACCACAUUGGACAUCACAGC